CAGGGUGUAGCUCAGUUGGUAGAGCGCUCGUUUCGGGUGCGAGAGGUUUCGGCAGUUCAAAUCUGCCCACCCUGA
This 75-nucleotide transfer RNA is filed under the name Candidatus Daviesbacteria bacterium RIFCSPHIGHO2_01_FULL_44_29. Its description in RNAcentral is "tRNA-Pro". It matches the Rfam family "tRNA". Rfam says of the family: Transfer RNA (tRNA) molecules are approximately 80 nucleotides in length. The record is from RNAcentral. RNAcentral also lists the same sequence under 3 other names. Lineage: Bacteria; Candidatus Daviesiibacteriota.